CAAUAGCGUAUAUUAAAGUUGUUGCAGUUAAAAAGCUCGUAGUUGGAUUUCUGCUGAGGACGAUCGGUCCGCCCACUGGGUGAGUAUCUGGCUCGGCCUUGGCAUCUUCUUGGAGAACGUUGCUGCACUUGACUGUGUGGCGCGGUAUCCAGGACUUUUACUUUGAGGAAAUUAGAGUGUUUCAAGCAGGCGCACGCCUUGAAUACAUUAGCAUGGAAUAAUGAGAUAGGACCUUGGUUCUAUUUUGUUGGUUUCUAGAGCUGAGGUAAUGAUUAAUAGGGAUAGUUGGGGGCAUUCGUAUUUAACUGUCAGAGGUGAAACUCUUGGAUUUGUUAAAGACGGACUACUGCGAAAGCAUUUGCCAAGGAUGUUUUCAUUGA
This 380-nucleotide ribosomal RNA is filed under the name uncultured eukaryote. Its description in RNAcentral is "partial 18S ribosomal RNA". It matches the Rfam family "Eukaryotic small subunit ribosomal RNA", at positions 592 to 976 of the family's 1831-position model. The record is from RNAcentral.